This is an RNA transcript of Hevea brasiliensis (rubber tree), 847 nucleotides long. RefSeq lists it as uncharacterized. The record is from RefSeq and is a predicted model, not a curated record. The transcript has 3 exons. NCBI's taxonomy places the organism in Eukaryota, Viridiplantae, Streptophyta, Magnoliopsida, Malpighiales, Euphorbiaceae.
CGUUAUAUCUUGUUGAUGUGAGAUUUUCGAAGUUGAAUUCUGUGUUCUGUUUGGAUCCUGAGAAAUUGUAGGAAAAGGAAGGAAAAUUUUGUCUUUCCUUCUUCUUCUUCUUCUUCUUCUUCUUCUUCUUUUUUAAUUUUGUCUAUUUGGAAUUAUUAUUAUUUUUUCUCAUAAGUUUCUUAGCUCUAGAGAAAAGACAUGUGCUUGAUUUUGAAUUCUUUCUUCAAUGCAAAAAUUUCUAUCUUGGAGCUUUAGAAAUAAGAGGAGCUGGAGAAAUAAUCUCUGUUCUCAAUCAUUUUUCUUGAUACUUUAUUUCUCUUAUAAUUUCAAAGCCCUAUAAGAUAUACAGAUAAAUUGAGUAUAAUUGGUCAUCUUACGGACAGCGGUACCAUGGAAAAUGUAACUGGCUCGCAGUCUAAACCUCAAUGGCAGCAAAGUGGAAAUGAAGAGAAGAAGGCAGCAGUUCAUGAAGAAAUGAAGAGAAUGAACCAACUUCCUGUAAACAGCACUUAUGCUACCCAUCGCCUGCGAGUUCUCAACAAAAUUCUGCAACUUCUAUCCAUUCAGAGGACUGUCUCACAGGAAGAGGAAUUGGAGUUGCUUUUUGCUGGGCUGCAUCUGUGAAAUUGUCUGUGCAAUUGCAGGUGACCCGUGCAAUUUUUUCUUGUAAUCAGGUUAAAUUUGUAACUACUAUAUAUGUUGUGUCUUUAAACUUUGAGCAUUGAUUGCUAUGGCUUUAGGUAUAGCUCCUAGUUAUGUUAGAGUACAUUGUAAGUUACAGAGUUCCAAGUUCUAUGAUGAUGACAAAUUGUUUUUGCUUACAUCAUGUAUAUAGUUUUUUUGUUUC